GGGGCGGCAGCUACCAUCGGCAGGAACCAUGAAGGACUCUUCCUGGGAUCUUCGGCAAUGGUAUUUGAUGAAAUAACCGAUCCACCAAUGUUAGAAGCUUUAGCCUGCCGCGAGGCUCUUGCUCUAGCGCAGGAUCUUUAUGCAGAUCACAUUGUUAUUGCAUGUGACUGUAAAACUGUCGUGGAAGAAAUCAAAUCGGGGUCAGAAGGAAGAUAUAGCAAUAUUAUCAAGGAGAUACAAGCCCAGACAAGACUUUUUGUUCGAUGUGACUUCAUCUUUGAAGGUCGAAAAGAAAAUGUAGAUGCUCAUAAUUUAGCAAACUUUUCAACUUUUUUAGAUCAGGGGCGCCAUGUAUGGCUGUGA
RNAcentral lists this ribosomal RNA (363 nucleotides) under Triticum aestivum (bread wheat). RNAcentral describes it as "partial small subunit ribosomal RNA". The record is from RNAcentral. Lineage: Eukaryota; Viridiplantae; Streptophyta; Magnoliopsida; Poales; Poaceae.